ACCAUGGUGGUUCAGUGGUAGAACUCUUGCCUUUCAUGUGGAAGACCCAGGUUCAAUUCCUGGCCAAUGCA
Molecule: transfer RNA, 71 nt
Filed under: Loxodonta africana (African savanna elephant)
Lineage: Eukaryota; Metazoa; Chordata; Mammalia; Proboscidea; Elephantidae
Rfam family: tRNA
About the family: Transfer RNA (tRNA) molecules are approximately 80 nucleotides in length.
Source: Rfam by way of RNAcentral